This is a long non-coding RNA of Dromaius novaehollandiae (emu), 10621 nucleotides long. RefSeq lists it as uncharacterized. NCBI's taxonomy places the organism in Eukaryota, Metazoa, Chordata, Aves, Casuariiformes, Dromaiidae. The transcript is spliced from 3 exons. The record is from RefSeq and is a predicted model, not a curated record.
UUGGUUCCAAAGUGUAAUGAGCAUGGAAAGGAUAAGUUCUUGAAAAUGCUACUUUGCUUGUUGUUCUGAUCAGGCUUAAUGUAAGUAAGCUUAAUGUAAGUAUUCGGCAAUACUAAAGAAGGGAUACAAAACAGCUGCUCCAGAAGGAGGUUGGCUUCCGGAUUAGACUACAGAAAGGACCAUGUACCAUCCAGCUUGAAUAGAUACAUCUACAAAGAUAUAGUACCCAGUUCUACAACUUCAAGGGGAUGGGAACAUACUUCUAUCAGAAGCCUCAAAGAGAAGAGUGAAGUGCAGCCCCUGUGAUGUGAAGUGAUGUGAAAUGACUGUGGCCAAGAUCACACAACUUGGUGAUGGAGCAGAGAAGGUUAUGCCAUCUCCAGAUUCUUCAUCUCAUCCCAUAUCCGCUAAAAGUAAACUUUGCAAACAGAAUAGGUUUACUGUAGUAAGAAACAUUUAGCUGUUUUUGAGGCAGAAAAGUGAAAUAAGAGUCCUUUUCAUUGAAAUGUAUCAGCUGUUAAAUGACUCCCAGAGGAGGCUUGUGAUGUUUUUUGUUCACUCCUCAGCAGUAUCUUGUUACAUGAAAGGAAUACUAAGAAUGACUUGGUGAAUUUUCCUAACCAUUUCCUUUCCAUUGCUUGCUGUAGAAUGAUUCCCAAAAUUUCUAAUUUAGGAAUUAGGAUACAUAUUAGUUUACAUAUUAGUUUACAGAUGGAGUAAGCCAGAUUGUCACAAAAAGGGCAGAAUAAGACAGCUUUCAAUUGCACAUAAGACUGGCCUGUUUCUGCCGUGACUAUUAGGAAACCACUUGAUAGUACUAGUCAUAGAGAAGCUGAAAACUGUUGCUGCACAUCAGAUAGGCAUCACCUGACAUUUUGUUUUCAUUAAUUUUAGUUGCAGAGAGGUAAAAAAUAAAGCUCACCACAUUAGAGAAACGGUUCUGUACCUUGACUGUAACUCACAGAGCAUUCAAGUUCCCAAACAGGAAUACUACUUAAAAGUUUAGACAGCCUUGUAGAAAAUGUGACUGACUUGCAAAGACAUCUAAAAUCAACAGUGCUCAAGUGAAUGGAUUUACCAUGGAUUUAUCUAUCAGUGUAUGUACAUAAAACCAGGACUGUUUCCUUUAAUUUGGGAAAGCUGACAAACAACUUCUAUUGAUUGUGCUCUACAUUCAGCUGUAUGUGCCACCAGUGUACAAACCAGGUGACUUUCACUUAAAUUUAUUUGCAGUGCAGAAGAGUGAGUGAGUAUAAAUAAACAACAUGCAAGGGACAUCUGUAAUUAUCAAAAGAGAAAGAAACACAGAAGAAAAAGAAAGACAUGUUCGAAAUUAUUCUGAUGAACACGCAGGAUAUUGUAAGCAUUCUGUCAGUAUUUCUUUCUAUCACUUGUCCAGAAGAAGUCAGUGCCAAAGCCCUGAAAACAAAUGCAGUCACAGACCUAGUGCUACUAUAGAGGAAAUUAUAGUAACAGUGCAGCUACUGAGCAGCUGACAUUUUAAGAAUUCAGUUUUCUCUUCAGUACAUAUGAUGUUCAUCUAUCUGGACCAGAAAAAAAAAAGGCAAUGAUAAGCUAAGCCAUUGCUUGUAGAUGGCCUGAGAGAAGAGAGAGCAACAAUUUCUCAUCCAUUUCUCAGGUUCUGUGACAUUGUGAGCCUGAGCUGUAUUACAUUUUUGUACACGCCAGCUAUUACAUUUUUUGUACAGGCCAGAUUUUCAAUAAAAACCUCAACACCUUCAAAGGUCUCUCUGUCUUUGAAACACUGGUGUAAGUGGCCAAGUGUCUUUGAAAAAUGUCUGGCCAAAAGCAUUUUACUGGGAAUGGCUGAGACAUGAGCGCAUCUGCCAAUAAGUGCAGAAGCUGUUCUUUUGAAAACUUGUUGUUUUGCAGACCUUUAAGUUCACCUAAAAUUCAUCUAAAAUGGCUAUGGAGAUUACUGAUGCAAGCUAUCUUACAUCUGAUCGAACUAGAGGAGGGGUAGAGCAAACGUGUGAUUCUAUCAGAUAAAAAUAUCCCAUAUGAGACACAAAGAAUGUAUUAUGGCAUCCAGGUUUACCUUUUAUGACCAUAUACCUACUCAGGUCAAGGUAAGAGGAAUAGGGGCUCUGAGUAAGGGCAUAAUCGCUCUCUAGCUCCUAGGUACUUAAUCUGAAAAUUAAAUCCUCUAUCAAUGUACAUUAACAUACAUACUGUGGUUGUGGUCAAUCCAUGCUAGUUUAUCUUAGCUGAAUGACUGGUGUGAAAUUUUUUUAGGACAAUGUGAUUUGCAACGUUUCAACAAGUUUAAUUGGAUCUAAAAUUCCAUUUGUUCAUGCUAUCUGUAACCUUUAAACAAUCAAUGGCUAUACAAUUUGGGUAAUGAGUCUUUAAAAUUAGAAUUAUUGAAAAGGCUUGUAUGUAGUGAUAAACACAGUAAGGUAAUAUUGAUUGGCCAGUGGAAGACAUGGAUUUGAACUAUAAACAGGUAUUAUUCUAAAAGAAGGGUACUACUGCACUUCUUUCAGCCACUCUUUUCCUGAGUCACCUGUAAGCAGAUUGAUGGUAUUUAUUUCUUUAUAAUUCUAAAAGAGUUUUAAUAGCAUGAACAGAUUUAUGGCUGAAGAAACAUGAAAGUCUGAUAAACAUCAUGCAAAAUGAAUUGAAGGCAUAAAUUUCCACAGGUUUUUUGCACUGAAUAGGUUGUGAAUGCUUAUGAUUUACUGAACAAAGAUGCUUACCAUAUAAAUGUCUUUGUUUAUAAUAACUGUGCUUGCAAAUGAGCUUUUUUAAUCUAAAAUAAGUCAGAUAUAUUCUUUUUCAUCUAGAUAUUAUUUUCCCUCCUUACUUCAGCCACACAAGAAAUUUCAUACUGAAAUUUGUGAAGCAUGUACAACAUGUAUGCCUAAACAAAUGAUCUGUGUUGGGAUUAUUCCAAAAGACAGCAGAUUUGAGGAUUACUAGAAGUAUUCCAAUUUCCAUUAGGGCAAUAGAAUAGUAUUCUGUCUAAUCUACAUUUAAUAUAGUGUUAUUAUAUGUAAUGGCACAACAACAUAAAGCUAAGAACCACCCAAACCAGGACUACAGCCACUACAAGUGCUGUUUAAACAUAGAAGACUGUGAUCCUAACAUCAACGGACUUUUAAUCUAAACAGAGGUGACAGAUAAAGACACAGAGUGAAUAAUGUUGCAGCAGAAAAUGGGUUGCUAUAUUCUUUGCCUAACUUUAAUUGGUAGGUAAGCAAUGGAAUGGAAGAAAAGUUACAGCAAGAAGAGGAUUACACAUAAGGGAGGAAGCUAUGAAAAGCGAAUACAUGGAGGGAAAGCUGAACAAACAGCUACUUUGCACAGGUUAAAGAAAAUCCAGUAAAACUUAAGUUCUGUGAAAAGAAGUUCAAAAGUCCCUGACAGACAUAAAAUGGCAAAGUAGUCUUUGCUUUCACUGUUGUCGUUCAUCCCUCUUCUCAUCAGCAUGGAUCUGUAUUGCGAAUUCUGUACUUACUCUGCAUGCAAAUCUCUUAUCGAUGUCAGUGGAAAUGUCAAGCAUGAAAUGUGUUUAGCAUACACAAUAGAACUGUACUGAGAGGAAAAUUUUGCUCCAGUUUUGUGUUCAGUUAUAAGUCUUUAUGCAGCUCUGACCUUAGGAAAACACGUGAGGCUGAAUGCUUGCAAUGAAGUUUGAGUUACAUCUUCUAAGGGGCUGAUUGUCAUCCGAAAGAGACUUUAUACUUGUGUAAUUCUAGUAAAUUCAGUGCAAUUACACCCAAUGGACAUAUUUCUGAGAGGAAGUUUUAGUCCUCACAGUCUGUGGUUUGGCAGACAUGAGAUUUUAAAAAGUUAAAAAAGAGAGAGAGAGAGAGAGAGAGAGAGAAAGAGAGAGAGAACAGGUCCUCUAUUUUUUACUUGUCUCAGUAGGAGCUGGAUACUUCACAAAAUCCAGAAAUUAGAUGUUAAAUAUCUAAACAACAGCUGACCUUUUUGGAAAAUGAGGUUACUUAUUUAACAUACAUGAAACCUAUUGGUUGCUGAUCUGUUUUGAUCUUAGCUCAAAGUUUAAGAAACUACAGUAAUAAUACCUGUCAGCUUUACAUUUUUCCUUCUUUACACAUCCAUUUCUAAAAGAUCAUACAGCUUUUGUAUUUUUUCCCCCUUUGGUGUAUGCUGAAUAUACAUUACUGUAAUGCAGUAUAAUUUCAUUACAAUCCUGCAAAUUUGUAUGUGUCCACAGUAGGACAUUCCAUUCUGUUGCAUUUGUAAAGCAGAAUGAUUUAUUUUUUAAAAGUUCUCCCUCACCUAGGUUUCUGGAAAAUGUAGCGAGUUUGUUUACUGCUGAACUGGUCAGAGGACAUUACUGAUUCCAAGUUUUAAAGUUUGUAUGCAGCAGGACAUUGUAUGGGAGGGGUUGAAGGGUCAAAAAGAAGAUACAGUAAAAAGGAAGAGAGGACAUUACUCUUUUAUGUUGUUUGAUGACAUGAUUUUUCUCAUAGGGCUUAGAAUCUUCAUACAAAACUAUUUCAAGUAGAGCUGCAAACACAAUAGUCUCAGUUUUAUUGUUUAUAUGCACCUACCACCCAUACACAUGCAUCUGUACACAAACAGUGCAAAGGAUGACAUCAAAAAUAAAAGCAGAAAAUUGAAAGAGAUAGUAGGGAAUCUAGAGGACUUGCAUUUUCUUAAUGUGUAUUUUGUGUUUCUAAUUUGAGAGCAUCCUCACACAAAAGAAGUGAGUGCUCUUAAAAAAUCUCACCUAUAUGUGCAGUAUGUGCCAAACAAUAAACAAUGCUAUUUGUGCUCUGGUAGGUAUUGGCAGUAGUUGGGCAUUCUAAAGUGAGACACAAGAUUUCUCUCUUUUAUAAGCAGAAUAAACAACAUAUGCUAGAAACACAGGGGACAAAGAAAUCCUUAGGAUAGGAACUAAAGAUGGCCAAAUACCUCCCAAGAGAAUGAAGAAGAUCCAUCUUUGAUGAAUCACAGUGGUUCACAAGCUUUAAAUAAAACUCUUGAGAGCUGCUUCUCUGUUCACACUGGAGGACACAAAGAGGACUGGGUAGGGCAGGAGGAAAAAUAAAAUGUAGCCAGGAAGUCAGGAUGGGCCAGGGCAGGGGCCUCCCCUGGCACUCGGCACCCAUCUCGCAGCCCCGUGCCUCAGCCUCAGCUCUGUUCCGGUGGCGCCCACCAUCUCGCCAUCCCAAACCGAUCUGGCACCACCUCGCCGCCACCUGGCCCUGACGAAAAAAAGCCCAAUAAUUUCAUUAAUACCUACCAUAAAAAAUCUAUGCUGUUGUUCUUUCGAAACCUGUAGUUUUCAUUGCUUAUGAGUUUUCAAGUAACUUCAGGUUUAUCCUCAAAAAUGCCUCUGAAUUUCCACAUUUGUUGCCUGAAUGCUACCAGAAAUAAUUAUUCCUCUGAACGCUUUCUUCGUAAAUGCCAUUACUAGCAUUUGGCAUUCAUACUUUAUUACUUUCCUGCUUCAAAAGCUUGAGUCAUCCAGUCAGGGACUAGAAGCUAUUCUUGGAGAUGUAGGUGAUCAAUCAUACAUGACUCCAGGAAGCCAAGGCAUACUAACAUCUGAAUCAAAGUAAACUGUUAAUCCUACUAUGUUAUGCACUGACACAGAAAUUUGAAUUUCAGAGACAAAAUCGUAUAUUGCCUUUUGAAUAUUUGCUAAAAUGCUACUCAACAUUCAAGGUUUGGUGUGUUUUAUGAUUGCAGUUUUGCCAUGGAAACCACCUGUUUCCAUGGAACUGCUUGCCAGAAUCCGGUCUUUCAUUUAAAUAAAAAAUGUUGAUAUUUAUUACCCACGGAUAUCUAGAUACCUAGAGACUACAUCUGUGAUUACAUUUUUUUUUUUCUUGAGCAAUACAGAUACAGAUAGCAAGAGAUAGCUCUUCUAUGGCUGGAAAGUCCGUCAUCCAAAAGCUAAUAGCAUAUAAGCCAAUGCAGUGCUCUCUUCAUUCUGCAAACAGCCUGAAACAACGGCUCUGGAAGGUAUAAUGCCACCUAUAUGUGCAGUAUGUGCCAAACAAUAAACAAUGCUAUUUGUGCUCUGGUAGGUAUUGGCAGUAGUUGGGCAUUCUAAAGUGAGACACAAGAUUUCUCUCUUUUAUAAGCAGAAUAAACAACAUGUGCUAGAAACACAGGGGACAAAGAAAUCCUCUUUGAUAUAUUAAUGAUAUAUUAACUGUGAAACAGAAAGAUUUAAUUGAGAAAAGUAUAAACAUUUCACUACUAUGCAGCUAUGAUCACAAAGUCAAAGCGCUAACUCAGACCCUAGUUACUCUCAUGUUACUAGAUGCAGACAAAUUUACCACAGGCUGUUGUCCAAAUGCAAAAAGCUCCAGUUUAAUGGCAAAGAAGAGGGCACUUUAACAGUUUGUACAUGAUUGUGCAGCACAUUAAAAUGUAUGGAAAGCAUUAACUAAGUUGAAAUUAACACAGUUCAAUAACAUAGGAAUGUAAUUUUUAUUUAUUUUUGUACCUAAAAUAAAUCCUUGAGGGUGGGGGUUGUGUUAAUUUGCAAUGCCAACCACUUUUUCUUAUACAGAGGUGCUCCUCAAUAAAUUCGCCUUUAUUUUAAGAAAUACUGAGGACUCAGAAUAGAGUAAAACCGACAGGGAUGAAGAGUUGAGGUUCCUUCUCUCCUUCACACCCCUCUCUCAGUAAAAAUCAUAUAAUGGGGCAAGAAAAGCUUCAGGGAUUCAGCCCUGGCAGGGACACAGAGCCCAGACAUCAGGGUGCUGGGCCUCACAGGACCAGACACAGAGAAGGAAUACUUCAUCUCCAGACCUUGGAUGGACUGGGCAAUGUGAACUAAAGAGAAAUUAUUCUGUCAUAGAUGAAUGUGGACUCAUGGGGAUGGAAGGGUCACUUCAUACAAAAUGUCCUUGACUGCAGCAUGAAUUGAGAGUGUGUAAGAUUAAGACUUAAUGGCUUGUGUUCAGUCUAAAUGAGGCUCAGGCAGCUUCUUGGUUCAUUUGAAAGUCUGAGUUUUACAUUAAUUGGUUGAAACAGUAACUGGGUGUAGGCAGCAGAAUUAAUUUCCCUCCCAUCCUAGCCAAUCUCUUAGUCAGUGGGGCUUGCUUUCCAUUUUUGCAGAAAAGCACAACUCUCAAUAGGAAGAACAAGUAGGAUGUUGACCCAUCACUUCCAAAAAUAUACAGCUUGGUGCUUAAUAUAAUACCCCAGUUGAUGAAAAGUCUUCCAUACCCUUAGUGAGUUUUCCAACCACCCUGCUAUUAUCAUCAGGGCUCUGAUUGCAAAAAUACUUCUUAAUGGCCCUGACCAGCCUCACCUGGGACAUCCAUCCACACCCUCUGCCAUUGCGCCCAGGAGCCCUAUUUCAGCUCAGACCUGGGCCUUUUAUCCCUUUCUAAGCUACCUUGUGAGUGUGUCUGUCUCCAGUCCUGUUUCUGGUCUUGCCUCCUUUUUCUCCCAACUAGACCCCCAGAUGGAUGCUGGCCCUGGUUCAUUGCUUGCUGUGUCUAGGACAGUUGAUGGACUCUGUUACCAGCACCUAGCUGUGCCUGCUGUUUUCAGGUAUUGUGGGGUGAUGUCCUGCUAGUAAGGGCACUGCCUGUGCUGGGGUCACUCUCAGCUUGUCCUCCCCUGUAGAGUAGCUGGCCCUUAUCACUCUGUGGCAAUUGUAGGACAGGUGGUGCAUUUUUUUUUUUUUAAAUCAGAAGUGUCUGGGGCACAGUGCAUGUACCAAACUUGGCACAGGUCACACUGCUGGAGAAAGGGUAGAAAGAGGGUCUUGUUGGGCUAAGGAAUAAAGCACCAAGCUGCUCAGUCUGACAGACACAAUGACAGUCAUCAUGUGUGCUGCCAAAAGGCUAAUGAGAAGUUAAGUUGACUCCACACUCAAAGGGCCCAUUCAAACAGCAUGCUUGGCAUGAGCUUAAGUGCCAAAGCCUCUCCUAAGUCCUGCCGGGGAUCUGUGUCUCUGCCCAGUGGGCUAACAGUAGCAGUCUAUUUGGUGCAGAGCCUAUUUCUCGUUACGUUUCUGUCAUGAUACUGCCUAUUCUACUACAGCCCAAUGCCAGGGUUUGGAGAUGUGCCUCUCCAUAUUUUUACCAGUACUUUCUAAGCAUUUGUUUAGCAGUAGCCAGGAACACUGGUAACCAGCAUUUUAUGUCUCUGACUACCACCUGACUGUCCAACUGCCCCUUAGUCUGCAAGCAGUCUACCCCGGUUUGGUAAUACAAAAAACCAACAUUAAGUAUUGAAGUCUCUCUUCCACAUGGAAAGAGGUCCAUGAGUCCAGAGACUGCUGUCAGCUUUGAAGGAAAACUUGUCCUUGUGGGCAGCCAUAGAGCUGACCUUCACAGGCACAAAAGACUAUGGAUUUUUUAACAUAAUUAACCAUAAUACAGUAGGUACUUUAAAAACAAACAAGCAAAAAAGCACAGUGCAUGCUGCACAUAGAGGAUUUUUUUUUCACUAGCUUCUAUUAGGAAUGCAAAGAUAUCAUUGUGCUUACAAGAAACAUUUCUUCUGUAGUCUUGCCUUUGUGCCACCUUAAGUGCUAAAACCAGGCAUGAGGUAAUUUAACCACAAGUCACUAGAAAAAAACAUAUAAUUGAUUUUCAUUGUAGAAUAGUUUCAAAAUAAAUGUUAUGCCCACAGCUUCAUGGAUGAGACAUUUCAGUGUGAUGGUUUCCAUCUUAAUAGCUUAAUCAAACUAUUUUUAAGUUAUAUGUCAUUUCUUAUUCAUCCAAACUACUUACUGAGUAUAGAAUAGCUGUGCAAGUCAGUAUGGCUUUUGUGUUUCUGGAGGAAGAUGGGAGGCUGGUAUGUAUUUUUUCAGGACAAUUCUUUGCUGUAGAAGUGAAGAGUAUUUUUGAAUUCUACAUAUAGGAUUUAAACUUCAAAGUCUUUUUUGUUCUUUUUUUUCUCUUUGUCCUACAAUAAUGGACUAUUUUGUAUAUCUAUCUGUACAGGAACAAGCUUCAAAGACCACAGGAAAUUAUUUUAGCAGUAUUUCAGAAGGUGGCCUCCAACAGCAAUUUUUAUUACUGCAAAGGAUGCUAUGAAAUAGUUCUUUACUUUGUCUCUGUUCUCAUGUUGAAUUCAGGCUUCUCUCUGUCAGGGGCAUAUUGUAUUACAUUUUUACGUCUUUAUCCUCUAACCUACUCCUCACUGGUCCCCUCCUCUCUCAUAGACUUUGUCAUAAAAGUUGCAAGACUUCGGGAGACAUUUUUCGAACAAAAUUUUAUAGUAUCUACCAUUUUCUAUGAGCUUAAGUUCAUCGUAUCAUGAAGAAUGGAAAAGAUGUGUCAUUAUUAUUUGUACUGAAAGACCUGGAUAACCCAAAUAAGGUCUGAAUGAACUGUGCUAAGUGAAAUGUAUAUCUGUACUACUGAGAUUGUUCACAGAAGUAAAAUUGAGUGUAUGGGAGAUACCUGGUUGGUUGAGGCCUUGGGGGGCGGGGGGAGAAGAGUGUUAUUGUCUUCAUUUGGAAACUGCAACUUGAAAGCCCUGGUUCAGCGAAGUAUUUUAGUACAGGCCUACCUUUAAGCAAUUUAAAGUUGCUUUAAAUUUUGUAAGUGUUAAUGGAAUUAUUCAGUGCCUAGAAUUAGGAAGACAUUCCCAAAUCUAGGAAGUAAAUGGCUUUAUCACAGUCUCAGAGGAAACCUGUUGCAGCAUUAAGAACCGAAUUGCUACUUCCUUACUUUGAGUCUAGUAUUGUGACCUUAAAUUCAUUUCUUUCAGAGGCAUUUGGAUAGCAAAAUCUCGGUCUUUUAACAUACCUUCUGGUUUCUCAGCUCUAAACCUAUAGCAGGUAUAUAGAUUCCAGGAGAAAGAUGCAUUUCUUCUGUUAGGUGCUGUCCUUCAGCAACUGCACUAGCAUUGUUCUAUUUUUCUGCUCCUGACUGGGAGCAAGUGAUUGCACAAAUCUGUUAAAAUAGAUCUAAAGUAAGCAUAAUUAAUAUGGACUGUUUUAAGCAUAUUGAGACAAAGCAGAAGAACCAAGGAACAGCCACAGGAUGUUAUUUUAUUAAAAAGUCUGAAAUAUGCUAGUGAAUAGAGAGAUGAUACAUGUCGAAUUGUAUUUUAGUUUAUCUGGAUGUAGAUACACAUCUUAAUGAUGCCAUUUCAUUUUAACUGAAGGUUUGCUAAAUAAAAUGGUGCUUUAUUGGGUUUGUGCUUUGGGAUUCUUUUUGUUUUAUGACCUGAAAAUAAGAGGCGGAGAGGAACUGAAGAGAACAGAAAGAAGGAGAGAAAAAAAACAAACCAACCCCCCAAACUCUGAUCUCCUGUAAUGUUGCUCUUGGUGAGAGUUAUCCAGAUGAGCCUUAAUGUAUGUACCUCAUGCUAUUGGGGGGGGGGGGGGGGAAGGGAUGGGUAUUUAAUACAAGUUAACCUUUUAACAUGCAUCAGUCCUAGGAAGGUGAAUUUUUCUCUUCUUGAAUGAUCAAUUCACUUAUUCUGGCAAUGUAAAGACCACACCUGAACAGUGCAUUUUCCAAAUGUGAAAGGGCACGUUCUGUGCUGCUUCUUGCUUUGUCAAAGUUUUCACCUGAUAUAUUUUUUUUUUUUUUAGAGAGAAUGCUACUUGCUAUGCCAUGUUGUUGUUUACAAUGGAGCUUACUGUAUAAAUAAUAUAAGUAAAAAUAUAAUAAAAAUUCUGCAAGUGAGCACA